Molecule: long non-coding RNA, 1266 nt
Filed under: Equus caballus (horse)
Lineage: Eukaryota; Metazoa; Chordata; Mammalia; Perissodactyla; Equidae
Description: lncRNA (ENSECAG00000050488.1)
Source: RNAcentral
AAAGAAGUAUGCAUGCGUUGAUAAAUUAGUAUUAUACAAAGAAAAAAUACUCUUCACACAAACCCUAGGGAGCUAUUAGAGCAGGGAAAGUUUAAGAAGAUAAGGUUUUCUUUGAAGGUGUAAGUUUUAAAAUGAGUUUAAAAACCAAGGAGCUACAUGGAGUGAGAGUGUCCUGACUGGGUAGAGAUGCAGAGCUGGAAGGGGACCACAUACACGGGGACCUACAGGAGGCGGAGCGUCAUGGGCUUGUCUCGGAUGGCAGAAGGAGGCUAACAUUGAAGAUAGAGGCCAUGUCUGCUGUCCUCCUCCAAGAAGGCUGCCUCCCGCCACUUCCCAGCCCGGAGUAGGGCAGGGAAGCAGCAGCCUGCCCCAGCCCAAGAGUGGAAAGAGUUUCAAGAAUUUGGAGUUCCCAGCACAAAUCACUACACAGAACCAUGCCCAGCUUAAAGGAGGCACUCAUUUAUUGAGUUAUGGAGAAAAGAAGAGAGAAAGAGGAGGAGGGAUGGUUGUGGAGGAAAGGAGAUGGAAGAGCAUUAUGAACACAACACCCAGGACUGCAAACUAACAUGAGCCAUAAUUGAAGGGCCAGAUUUCUUGAAAAACGCCUGUUACAUAGGCAAGAUGAGGCACCUGGUUCUAACAGGCAAAUAAAAUUAUUCUGUGAGAAUCAUAGAAUUGUUGUGUCUGUGUUCUUGCCAGUCACCCAGUGCAGCAUAAUGCAGGAGUCCCUGUCAGGUUUAUCAGAAGCGUGACUUUCAAAGUGGGGACCCACCGAGCUACAAAGUCAGGAGAGAUUUCCAAAAUUCAAUUUGAUAUCAUUUUAAUAUGCACAAUAGCUGUAUGGGCCCCCCCAAAAUUGGAAGUGCUACAGAGUUGUAUGUAAAAGACUUUUCUUGACAAACCUCGAGAGGCAGAGAAAGAGGGUGGCAGACUGCCUUGCGGAGAGAAUUAGAAGUUUGAGGGCUAAGUGACCGCCUGGCUCUGGAAAUCCACGAGGAAGCUGCAAGAAUCAGGUUCGGUAUGUCCCAUCAAGGUCACUAAAAAGAAUACAGUAAGCCUCCUGGCUAAGAUUUCCAGCCAUUAUGCAACCUCAGGCAAGCCAAGACAGUAACCCCAGACCGUGUGGGAGGAUGAAGUUGUUCCCAUCAUGGAGAAGUACCUUUCAACUCCGGGAAGAUUCAGAAUGGAGCAGAAUCGAAUAAGAUAAUCAAAGCCAUCUGUUGCUCUUUUGAGUCUAGGGCGUGUGUGUAAAUUUAGUGUUUUCUG